CCCACAGCCCUCACCCGCCUGCUGACCUUCACCAUCCUGGCCGGGCUGCUGGUGGCCCUCGUCUGCGUGGCCACCCUGGGCCUGCUGGCUGUGAAGUUGUGGCCCAGGAUCAGGAGGUUUCGGGGCCGGUUGGGUGCCGAGGACACUUUGGAGCUGAGGAGCAAACAGGAGCCAGCACAGGUGGAUGGAGCAUCUUAACCUGGUGGCCCUUGGACCCGGGAGCAUCUGUGGUGGCUGGUGCUGGAAUUCCACGGUCCUGGCCUGGCUGGAUCCAGGUAGCCCCCCCCUGGGGACCCCCAGCCCUAUUCCAGCCCCUGCCAGCCCCAUUCCAGCCCCUGGAUGUUGUUCCCCCCCAGUGGACGUUGUUCUCACGUGGGGCACGGUUUGGGCUCACCACGUCACGUGCCAGGCUGUGCCAGCUGUGACUGCUCAGAGCUGUGAAAUCCUGGAAAGAUAAUA
This is a long non-coding RNA of Neopelma chrysocephalum (saffron-crested tyrant-manakin), 459 nucleotides long. RefSeq lists it as uncharacterized. Lineage: Eukaryota; Metazoa; Chordata; Aves; Passeriformes; Pipridae. The record is from RefSeq and is a predicted model, not a curated record. The transcript has 3 exons.